CAUAAGCCAGCUUGACUGCGAGCGUGACGGCGCGAGCAGGUGCGAAAGCAGGUCAUAGUGAUCCGGUGGUUCUGAAUGGAAGGGCCAUCGCUCAACGGAUAAAAGGUACUCCGGGGAUAACAGGCUGAUACCGCCCAAGAGUUCAUAUCGACGGCGGUGUUUGGCACCUCGAUGUCGGCUCAUCACAUCCUGGGGCUGAAGUAGGUCCCAAGGGUAUGGCUGUUCGCCAUUUAAAGUGGUACGCGAGCUGGGUUUAGAACGUCGUGAGACAGUUCGGUCCCUAUCUGCCGUGGGCGCUGGAGAACUGAGGGGGGCUGCUCCUAGUACGAGAGGACCGGAGUGGACGCAUCACUGGUGUUCGGGUUGUCAUGCCAAUGGCACUGCCCGGUAGCUAAAUGCGGAAGAGA
This 407-nucleotide ribosomal RNA is filed under the name Escherichia coli. Its description in RNAcentral is "partial 23S ribosomal RNA". It matches the Rfam family "Bacterial large subunit ribosomal RNA", at positions 2358 to 2764 of the family's 2925-position model. The record is from RNAcentral. Lineage: Bacteria; Pseudomonadati; Pseudomonadota; Gammaproteobacteria; Enterobacterales; Enterobacteriaceae. RNAcentral also lists the same sequence under 3 other names.